CUUGAGAGAACCCAGCCACAACGGGUUGUCGUCCCCACGGGCCUGGCCGUAAGCGGACAGCAGCGCCUGCGCCUC
Molecule: non-coding RNA, 75 nt
Organism: Streptomyces cellostaticus
Lineage: Bacteria; Bacillati; Actinomycetota; Actinomycetes; Kitasatosporales; Streptomycetaceae
Rfam family: ASpks TB sRNA
Source: Rfam